CCUACGGGUGGCAGCAGUGAGGAAUAUUGGUCAAUGGACGAGAGUCUGAACCAGCCAAGUAGCGUGAAGGAUGACUGCCCUAUGGGUUGUAAACUUCUUUUAUAUGGGAAUAAAGUUCUGCACGUGUACUGUUUUGUAUGUACCAUAUGAAUAAGGAUCGGCUAACUCCGUGCCAGCAGCCGCGGUAAUACGGAGGAUCCGAGCGUUAUCCGGAUUUAUUGGGUUUAAAGGGAGCGUAGGUGGAUUGUUAAGUCAGUUGUGAAAGUUUGCGGCUCAACCGUAAAAUUGCAGUUGAUACUGGGAGUCUUGAGUACAGUAGAGGUAGGCGGAAUUCGUGGUGUAGCGGUGAAAUGCUUAGAUAUCACGAAGAACUCCGAUUGCGAAGGCAGCUUACUGGACUGCAACUGACACUGAUGCUCGAAAGUGUGGGUAUCAAACAGGAUUAGAUACCCUAGUAGUC
Molecule: ribosomal RNA, 460 nt
Filed under: uncultured bacterium
Lineage: Bacteria
Description: partial 16S ribosomal RNA
Rfam family: Bacterial small subunit ribosomal RNA
Source: RNAcentral